Molecule: ribosomal RNA, 460 nt
Filed under: uncultured bacterium
Lineage: Bacteria
Description: partial 16S ribosomal RNA
Rfam family: Bacterial small subunit ribosomal RNA
Source: RNAcentral
CCUACGGGUGGCAGCAGUGAGGAAUAUUGGUCAAUGGACGAGAGUCUGAACCAGCCAAGUAGCGUGAAGGAUGACUGCCCUAUGGGUUGUAAACUUCUUUUAUAUGGGAAUAAAACGUUCCACGUGUGGGAUUUUGUAUGUACCAUAUGACUAAGGAUCGGCUAACUCCGUGCCAGCAGCCGCGGUAAUACGGAGGAUCCGAGCGUUAUCCGGAUUUAUUGGGUUUAAAGGGAGCGUAGGUGGAUUGUUAAGUCAGUUGUGAAAGUUUGCGGCUCAACCGUAAAAUUGCAGUUGAAACUGGCAGUCUUGAGUACAGUAGAGGUGAGCGGAAUUCGUGGUGUAGCGGUGAAAUGCUUAGAUAUCACGAAGAACUCCGAUUGCGAAGGCAGUUCACUGGACUGCAACUGACACUGAGGCUCGAAAGUGUGGGUAUCAAACAGGAUUAGAUACCCGAGUAGUC